UACGUAGGGGGCAAGCGCUAUCCGGAAUUACUGGGUGUAAAGGGUGAGUAGGCGGCAUGGUAAGCCAGAUGUGAAAGCCUUGGGCUUAACCCGAGGAUUGCAUUUGGAACUAUCAAGCUAGAGUACAGGAGAGGAAAGCGGAAUUCCUAGUGUAGCGGUGAAAUGCGUAGAUAUUAGGAAGAACACCAGUGGCGAAGGCGGCUUUCUGGACUGAAACUGACGCUGAGGCACGAAAGCGUGGGGAGCGAACAGG
Molecule: ribosomal RNA, 253 nt
Filed under: uncultured bacterium
Lineage: Bacteria
Description: partial 16S ribosomal RNA
Rfam family: Bacterial small subunit ribosomal RNA
Source: RNAcentral